Molecule: ribosomal RNA, 484 nt
Filed under: uncultured bacterium
Lineage: Bacteria
Description: partial 16S ribosomal RNA
Rfam family: Bacterial small subunit ribosomal RNA
Source: RNAcentral
GACGAACGCUGGCGGCGUGCUUAACACAUGCAAGUCGAACGAUGAAGCCGGAGCUUGCUCUGGUGAAUUAGUGGCGAACGGGUGAGUAACACGUGAGUAACCUGCCCUUGACUCUGGGAUAACUGCGGGAAACUGUAGCUAAUACCGGAUACGACCCUCGGAGGCAUCUCCUGGGGGUGGAAAGAAUUUCGGUCAAGGAUGGACUCGCGGCCUAUCAGCUAGUUGGUGAGGUAAAGGCUCACCAAGGCGACGACGGGUAGCCGGCCUGAGAGGGUGACCGGCCACCGUGGGACGGAGACACGGCCCAGACUCCUGCGGGAGGCAGCAGUGGGGAAUAUUGCACAAUGGGCGCAAGCCUGAUGCAGCAACGCCGCGUGAGGGAUGACGGCCUUCGGGUUGUAAACCUCUUUUAGCAGGGAAGAAGCGAAAGUGACGGUACCUGCAGAAAAAGCACCGGCUAACUACGUGCCAGCCGCCGCAGUAA